CUACGUAAUUCAAGCGAAUGUCUCUCUUCGUACGGACAGUCAAGAGACCCACGGCGGCUUCGUGUCACCUCUAGUCGUCGGUAAGGAAAGCGAUUCGAAGGAAUUAUGGAAAGUUUCGUCGAUUCACAAUCCCAGUUUUCGAGCCACGAAGUCUCCCGAACGCCGUGUCACUCUCGCCGCGUCGAAAGAGAAGGACGAAUUUCUCUCGGGAAACUCAUCAGUCGGCUGUCGGACAAUUCGAGUCUCGUGAACCUAGUGAAAUCGGGGCACCGAUGCUUCUGGCAAGCACGACGUAACUUCGAGAUCAUUUCCCAAUCUGAUAAAUUCAUGGCAGUUUCGAGGUUUUACGCGGCCGUUCGGGCGUUUCUCGAUCGCGGAAACCUUCGAGAAAUCACGGACGACGCGCAGCGCCACUACGCACGGCACAUCGCAGAGACGAGUUCCACGAGGAAUGAUAAUGGAUCGAAAAAAAAAAGAAGGAACGCGCAAUAGUGCUUGGCUCUUGGUUCCGCCGUUCCGCUGUUUUAACGUAGUUCAGCCACGAACGAUGACAAAACUGUCAAACGAACAAAGUACGAAAAAACAAAAUAUGACAAAGAGAAAAUGAGAGAAGCAUCCAAAGACUGUGCGAAACGACCUACCAGCGAAACUACCAGCGAAACCAGUGGUUAAAGAUGACGCUGGAUUGCAGUAGGGAUGCUGCUGGAGAUCCCUAAGAAAAAAUAUAUUAAUCAUGAGAUGCAUCAGGGGCGGCUUUUGGUUGAGUCACCACGAGGCUUGGGGUGCGGGGGGGGGGGAAUUUAAUGAUGGCAGCUCCAUUGCGCUGCUCGUGUCAACGUUCUUAAAUAGACUCGAAAAAUAUACAGGAGUAAGAGAAGAUGUGUCUAGGGAAGAUAUCCCGGUUGAGGAAGACAGCAUCUUAGUCAAGCUUUGGGUACGUCCCGCGCUGAUCUAGUCUUGGACUCGGUACCAUGACGAGACCUGACGCCGACCUCGGACAUGAUAACACGAAACGGCGCCACGUGUGACAACGGCAGAGCCCAGGGCCGUCUCCAUGGAUAUUUUUUUCGGGCGCAGUUCAACGACUAACGGAGAAGCAGGGGUACGAAGGAGACACGCGUGGGUGCGGGUACUCGUGUCGAUGGGAAACAGCGAGGAAAGUCUUCGAAGAUCAUUGACCAUAAUUUGCGGAGGGCUGAUCAUGCUGAUUUUUCCAGCCUGCAGAACGUCAACACAUUUUUUUGGGGUACGGAAGUCUCCAGAGAAAUUUCACGUUCUAGGGAAACUGGAUCGAUGCAGGAGACGUCACGAGGUGUCUUUUUUUACUUUCGGCGAAAGUUCAAGGCCCGUCCACUUCACCUUCACAAUCGACGUCGUCGCCCCUUUAUGACUUUCUAAGGAAUUUCUCAAGGAUUACGAGAAAAAAUGGAAAAUUUCGUCAUUUCGGAUUCAAUUUAAAAUCCAAUAUUUACAGUUUACACGAACACAGUAUACCGUGUGGGGAUGCGUAACCGUGUAAGAUUAAAAUCACGGCGCCCGAUCAUCUCUGCAACGACUUCCAGCCGACUCUGCCGACUCCCCGAUAAUUUUUCAUCAAACUUUCACGAAUUUCUACCGUGAAAUCAGCCGAUCCGAACGACGCAGCCUCUGCUUUACAUACGUCAGCAAAUUGCCAGCUCUCAGUCGAACAAGAACGGAGUAUACGAAAAUAUGAAAAAACAAGAAGGAAGAAAAACAUUUCGUACACGAUACGCAUAACACGUAAAGUAGAUACAGGUACCGGAAGUACGGGUGGGACAGUCGGAGCAAUAACUUCACAGUCCGAUUCGAACAUGAACGGCCAGCGAGUAACCUUGAUUAUACAUAAAAUUUUGCCAAAUGAAAAAAAAAAAAUCGAAAUACUCCGCUUUCAACGAUAUAUACCAAAAACACUAAAAUACUAUUAAAAAAAAAUACAACAGUGGCAUUUUUUCUUGCCGCAUUUUUCAUCCAAGAAAUCCGACAGACAUAAUGAAUUAUUUCCAAACAAAAGGUGAAACCAAUCGAUUCCGGAAUAUCUCGAAUCGUAACAAUAGCCUUAGAAUUCCUUUCUCGUUAAAAUUAAUCCCCGUGAAAGAUCCACGAAGAUUAACCCCUCCGAGCCGUUAUCAUUUUAGUAGUAACAAUUUUACAUUUUCAUGGGUAUUUAACCCCCAAAGAAAUCGUGUCGAAGGGUUAAAACCGAAAUACGUCCUGAUUUUAUUGUCUCUGCGCGACCUUGAUCGAUUUGGCACUCUGGCGGGCUCGAGCGGUACUACUGUAUAUACGAGCGCAAAGAACCCUUUUCUCCAUAUCCGAAGCCCAAAUUCUAUUUACGGAUCGAGAAGGCACGCUGACAAUUUGGACGUACUCGCAGAGUUACGAUAUCAGCCAGCGAGUAAGCUGGAGGUACAAAUGAGUUGGUGAGUAAAAACGAGCAAAUCGCGGAACGACACGAGAGCGCGAGGGGAUGGAAGAAGGCGGGAACGACGUGUGGAUUCCUGGAGAUAAGACACACGUUUCCAAUAGCGUCGCGCGAACAGCCGAUAUCUUGGACAGUCGACGUAGCCAAUUUGAAAAUUUUAUAUGGAAGACGCAAUAAAAUUUGUCACGAUGGAAAAAUAAAUAUUCUCAAACGUUA
Cephus cinctus (wheat stem sawfly) is the source of this 2659-nucleotide long non-coding RNA. RefSeq lists it as uncharacterized. The transcript is spliced from 4 exons. The record is from RefSeq and is a predicted model, not a curated record. Lineage: Eukaryota; Metazoa; Arthropoda; Insecta; Hymenoptera; Cephidae.